RNAcentral lists this ribosomal RNA (357 nucleotides) under uncultured bacterium. Its description in RNAcentral is "bacterial SSU rRNA". It matches the Rfam family "Bacterial small subunit ribosomal RNA", at positions 32 to 369 of the family's 1533-position model. The record is from RNAcentral.
AAUCAACGCUGGCGGCGUGCCUCAGACAUGCAAGUCGAACGCGAAAGUUCCCUUCGGGGGGCAAGUAGAGUGGCGCACGGGUGAGUAACACGUAGGUAAUCUACCUUUGGAUGGGGAAUAACAACCGGAAACGGUUGCUAAUACCGCAUAAUGCAGCGGCACCUAAUGGUGACAGUUGUUAAAGCGGGGGAUCGAAAGACCUCGCGUCUGAAGAGGAGCCUGCGGCGGAUAGCUAGUUGGUAGGGUAACGGCCUACCAAGGCUACGAUCCGUAGCCGGCCUGAGAGGGCGGUCGGCCACACUGACACUGACAUACGGGUCAGACUCCUACGGGAGGCAGCAGUCGGGAAUUUUGGGC